RNAcentral lists this ribosomal RNA (468 nucleotides) under uncultured bacterium. Its description in RNAcentral is "partial 16S ribosomal RNA". It matches the Rfam family "Bacterial small subunit ribosomal RNA", at positions 28 to 507 of the family's 1533-position model. The record is from RNAcentral.
GACGAACGCUGGCGGUGUGCUUAACACAUGCAAGUCGAACGGUAAGGCCCUUUCGGGGGUACACGAGUGGCGAACGGGUGAGUAACACGUGAGUAACCUGCCCUCAUCUCUGGGAUAACAGUCGGAAACGGUUGCUAAUACUGGAUAUGAGCUUGCAAGGCAUCUUGUGGGUUGGAAAGAUUUUUUUUGGUUGGGGAUGGACUCGCGGCCUAUCAGCUUGUUGGUGAGGUAGUGGCUCACCAAGGCUUCGACGGGUAGCCGGCCUGAGAGGGCGACCGGCAACAUUGGGACUGAGAUACGGCCCAAACUCCUACGGGAGGCAGCAGUGGGGAAUAUUGCACAAUGGACGGAAGUCUGAUGCAGCAACGCCGCGUGCGGGAUGACGGCCUUCGGGUUGUAAACCGCUUUCAAUUGUGACGAAGCUUUUUUGUGACGGUAGCAGUAGAAGAAGCACCGGCUAACUACGUG